RNAcentral lists this small RNA (693 nucleotides) under Pongo abelii (Sumatran orangutan). RNAcentral describes it as "processed transcript". The record is from RNAcentral. Lineage: Eukaryota; Metazoa; Chordata; Mammalia; Primates; Hominidae.
GCCGAGGCCUCUUAGCAGCCAAUGUGAAUGCGACAAGUCCCCGAUCCAGGCGUCCCGCUCUCCCCGGCCCCGCUCGCCAGGUCCUACCACGAUGCCUGACUCGUUUGCGGCUUUGGGACCGGUUGUAGGUGGCUUGACCGUCACUAGUAGACGUUUCUGAUUGUGUCGCGGUCACCAUGGGGAGGUUCCCUGCUCAAGCUCUCUUCUCUUGUCUGCCGCCAUGUGAGACGUGCCUUUGACCUUCUGCCAUGAUUGUGAGGCCUCCCCAGCCACGUGAAACUGGUCAUGAAAGACAAAGAUUGAGGAGGUUCAAUCACACAUUCUAAGGACAAAUCACAAGACCAAAGGAGAUGGGAUAACAAAAUGCAACAUGGUUGAGCAAGAGCUGGAUUUUAUGAAAAAAACAAAAAAAAAACAAAAAAAAACAAAAAAGACUUAAUCGAAAAUGCAAGGUGGGAUCCUGGAUUGGAUCCUCAAAUAGAAUAGUUUUUCUAUUAGUAGAAACAUUAGUAAAAUUUGAAUGAGGUCUGUAAUUUCUUUAAUAGUUUUGUUCUGGUGUUGGAUCUUGCUUUUAGUCAUUGUGCUAUGGUUAGGUAAGAUGUUAACAGCUGAGAUAACUGGGUGAAGAAUAUUCAGAAACUUAAUUUUUAUGACUUUUCUCUAAGUCUAAAAUAAUUUCAAAAUAAAUUUUUU